This 514-nucleotide ribosomal RNA is filed under the name uncultured bacterium. RNAcentral describes it as "bacterial SSU rRNA". It matches the Rfam family "Bacterial small subunit ribosomal RNA", at positions 164 to 688 of the family's 1533-position model. The record is from RNAcentral.
UAAUGCCGGAUGUUCCACAUGAGCGCAUGCGAGUGUGGGAAAGGCUUUUGCGGCAUGGGAUGGGGUCGCGUCCUAUCAGCUUGUUGGUGGGGUAACGGCCUACCAAGGCGUUGACGGGUAGCCGGCCUGAGAGGGCGACCGGCCACAUUGGGACUGAGAUACGGCCCAGACUCCUACGGGAGGCAGCAGUGGGGAAUAUUGCACAAUGGGCGCAAGCCUGAUGCAGCGACGCCGCGUGCGGGAUGGAGGCCUUCGGGUUGUAAACCGCUUUUGUUUGGGAGCAAGCCCUUCGGGGUGAGUGUACCUUUCGAAUAAGCACCGGCUAACUACGUGCCAGCAGCCGCGGUAAUACGUAGGGUGCGAGCGUUAUCCGGAUUUAUUGGGCGUAAAGGGCUCGUAGGCGGUUCGUCGCGUCCGGUGUGAAAGUCCAUCGCCUAACGGUGGAUCUGCGCCGGGUACGGGCGGGCUGGAGUGCGGUAGGGGAGACUGGAAUUCCCGGUGUAACGGUGGAAUG